This 1465-nucleotide ribosomal RNA is filed under the name marine metagenome. Its description in RNAcentral is "bacterial SSU rRNA". It matches the Rfam family "Bacterial small subunit ribosomal RNA". The record is from RNAcentral.
AGAGUUUGAUCCUGGCUCAGGAUGAACGCUGGCGGCGUGCUUAACACAUGCAAGUCGAACGAACCUUCGGGUUAGUGGCGGACGGGUGAGUAACGCGUGGGAAUCUGCCCUCAGGAGGGGGAUAACGGUUGGAAACGACCGCUAAUACCCCAUAUGCCGAGAGGUGAAAUGAAUUUCGCCUGAGGAUGAGCCCGCGUCUGAUUAGCUAGUUGGUGUGGUAAUGGCUCACCAAGGCUUCGAUCAGUAGCUGGUCUGAGAGGAUGAUCAGCCACACUGGGACUGAGACACGGCCCAGACUCCUACGGGAGGCAGCAGUGGGGAAUUUUCCGCAAUGGGCGAAAGCCUGACGGAGCAACGCCGCGUGAGGGAUGAAGGCCUCUGGGCUGUAAACCUCUUUUCUCAAGGAAGAAGAUCUGACGGUACUUGAGGAAUAAGCCACGGCUAAUUCCGUGCCAGCAGCCGCGGUAAUACGGGAGUGGCAAGCGUUAUCCGGAAUUAUUGGGCGUAAAGCGUCCGCAGGCGGCCUUUCAAGUCUGCUGUUAAAACGUGGAGCUUAACUCCAUCAUGGCAGUGGAAACUGUUGGGCUUGAGUGUGGUAGGGGCAGAGGGAAUUCCCGGUGUAGCGGUGAAAUGCGUAGAUAUCGGGAAGAACACCAGUGGCGAAGGCGCUCUGCUGGGCCAUCACUGACGCUCAUGGACGAAAGCCAGGGGAGCGAAAGGGAUUAGAUACCCCUGUAGUCCUGGCCGUAAACGAUGAACACUAGGUGUCGGGGGAAUCGACCCCCUCGGUGUCGUAGCCAACGCGUUAAGUGUUCCGCCUGGGGAGUACGCACGCAAGUGUGAAACUCAAAGGAAUUGACGGGGGCCCGCACAAGCGGUGGAGUAUGUGGUUUAAUUCGAUGCAACGCGAAGAACCUUACCAGGAUUUGACAUCCUGCGAAUCUCUUGGAAACGAGAGAGUGCCUUCGGGAACGCAGUGACAGGUGGUGCAUGGCUGUCGUCAGCUCGUGUCGUGAGAUGUUGGGUUAAGUCCCGCAACGAGCGCAACCCACGUUUUUAGUUGCCAGCAUUUAGUUGGGCACUCUAGAGAGACCGCCGGUGAUAAACCGGAGGAAGGUGUGGAUGACGUCAAGUCAUCAUGCCCCUUACAUCCUGGGCUACACACGUACUACAAUGCUACGGACAAAGGGCAGCAAACUCGCGAGGGCAAGCAAAUCCCAUAAACCGUGGCUCAGUUCAGAUCGUAGGCUGCAACUCGCCUACGUGAAGGCGGAAUCGCUAGUAAUCGCAGGUCAGCAUACUGCGGUGAAUACGUUCCCGGGCCUUGUACACACCGCCCGUCACACCAUGGAAGUUGGCCACGCCCGAAGUCGUUACUCCAACCCUUGUGGAGGAGGACGCCGAAGGUGGGGCUGAUGACUGGGGUGAAGUCGUAACAAGGUAUCCGUACCGGAAGGUGCGGAUG